AUUCCGAUGAAUUCGACUGAUACGCAACUUCAGAUCACAUAUGCAUAAGUUGGAAGUUGCAAGUCGUUGUUAUUAUUUUUGACAAGACGGAAUGGUUGAGAAAUAAGUGUCCAAUUCAUAUUCUACAACAAAAGUUAAAAUUAAUUUACAAAACUAUAGAGGAAUACAAAAAAAAAAAGAUUUAAAAAAUGAACCAUUUCAUUAAAAAUAACGUGGCUAAUUGAAAACCAAUAUGACAACAAAUAUUUGAAGUUGGGAUACAUUAAGAAGUUCACAAAAACCACAUGGAUAUGGAUUUGAUGAUAAAGACUACACGUAUUAGGAAAAGAUACAUAAUAUGUUACUAAAAUUUUAAAUUUAGUAAAUUAAACAAAAAGGGAUGAAAUACAAUUUUUCUCUAAAAAGAAGCUUUAUAUGAACAAAGAUGUGUUUCUCAAAAUUACCAUCCUCCAAAAACAGCUUCCAAAUAAACAUCUAUAUGCAGACUAUAUAAGAUUCUAUCCUCGAUGGCUUGUGGUGUCACGUAUAUAUUUCAAAGAUAAGGGCAAAAGUAAAAAAGGAUCUUGAAGGACACAGAAUUCUUCAUAUUCAGACUUUUUAGAACUCGGUCUAUUUUUACGGUUAUUUCUCACAUUUUCUUAAUGGAAAUUUAACUUGGAAAGUAUAGGGAUCUCCGAGGGCUAUUUAGUUUGAAAGAAUCUCCUUGAAGCUGAAAGUUCCUUAUUAAGUUUAAAUUCAUAUUUAUAACAUUACCUGAAGAACUGAAGGGAUGUGAACGAUGGAAAAGCACGCCCUGCAUUCUGUUUUAAAAGUGUGGUACCAAUGCAGUCUCUGACAAGUGAUUCCACAAUCGAUUCUAUCCUCGAUGGCUUGUGGUGUCACGUACUUCAAAAAUAUGGGCAAAAGUAAAAAAGAGAAUCUUGAAGGACACAGAAUUCUUCAUAUUCAGACUUUUUAGAACUCGGUCUAUUUUUACGGUUAUUAUUCACAUUUUCUGAAUGAAAAUUUAACUUGAAAGUAGGGAUCUCCGAGGGCUAUUUAGUUAGAAAGAAUCUCCUUGAAGUUGAAAAUUCGUUAUCAAGUUUGAUAUUACCUAGUUGGAAUAUAUCCGUGUGAAUAGGGAACAGAUCUAUGAUCAGGAGGUGAAAGAGAACGAUGACCUGUGGGACUUUGCGACCUUCCCCGAUAAUGACUACUCGGAGAAUCCAUCG
This is a long non-coding RNA of Leptopilina boulardi, 1211 nucleotides long. RefSeq lists it as uncharacterized. The transcript has 7 exons. NCBI's taxonomy places the organism in Eukaryota, Metazoa, Arthropoda, Insecta, Hymenoptera, Figitidae. The record is from RefSeq and is a predicted model, not a curated record.